Molecule: ribosomal RNA, 446 nt
Filed under: uncultured bacterium
Lineage: Bacteria
Description: partial 16S ribosomal RNA
Rfam family: Bacterial small subunit ribosomal RNA
Source: RNAcentral
CCUACGGGAGGCAGCAGUCGAGAAUCAUUCACAAUGGGGGAAACCCUGAUGGUGCGACGCCGCGUGGGGGAAUGAAGGUCUUCGGAUUGUAAACCCCUGUCAUGUGGGAGCAAAAUAAAAAGAUAGUACCACAAGAGGAAGAGACGGCUAACUCUGUGCCAGCAGCCGCGGUAAUACAGAGGUCUCAAGCGUUGUUCGGAAUUCCUGGGCGUAAAGCGUGCGUAGGCUGUUUCGUAAGUCGUGUGUGAAAGGCGCGGGCUCAACCCGCGGACGGGACAUUAUACUGCGAGACUUGAGUAAGUGGGGGGGAGCCGGAAUUCUCGGUGUAGCAGUGAAAUGCGUAGCUAUCGAGAGGAACACUCGUGGCGAAGGCGGGUUCCUGGACAUUAACUGACGCUGAGGCACGAAGGCCAGGGGAGCGAAAGGGAUUAGAUACCCCAGUAGUC